AUUGAACGCUGGCGGCAGGCUUAACACAUGCAAGUCGAGCGAACGGCGGACGGGCGAGUAAUGUCUGGGAAACUGCCUGAUGGAGGGGGAUAACUACUGGAAACGGUAGCUAAUACCGCAUACCAUCCGAUGGGCCCAGAUGGGAUUAGUUAGUAGGUGGGGUAAUGGCGCACCUAGGUGACGAUCCCUAGCUGGUCUGAGAGGAUGACCCGCCCCACUGGAACUGAGCCACGGUCCAGACUCCUACGGUAGGCAGCAGUGGGGAAUAUUGCACAAUGGGCGCAAGCCUGAUGCAGCCAUGCCGCGUGUGUGAAGAAGGCCUUCGGGUUGUAAAGUACUUUCAGCGGGGAGGCGUUACCCGCAGAAGAAGCACCGGCUAACUCCGUGCCAGCAGCCGCGGUAAUUC
This 406-nucleotide ribosomal RNA is filed under the name uncultured bacterium. RNAcentral's name for it is "partial 16S ribosomal RNA". It matches the Rfam family "Bacterial small subunit ribosomal RNA", at positions 30 to 526 of the family's 1533-position model. The record is from RNAcentral.